UGUCACGUAAGAUCAAACAACGUAGAGACAAACAAGUCUACUUGGAAAAGCAUUUCAUAUAGCACACAUAUUGAUCACGAUUCUAAGAACCGGGUGAAGAGCGUCCUUGUUUAGUAAAGCUCUCUGAAUAAGACAAAGAGUUAUAUAGAUCAAAUCUCACAUUAUGACACAAUUAUUGCAGAUCUUUGCAGUUUUAAUCAUCGGUGCCAUAACAAAUGUGACAUCAAUGCCAAUCAGAGAUAAGCUAGAUAAAGAUUAUAACAAGACUAUUGAAAGAAUAAAUGAAGUGCCUGAAAAAAUAUGUAUAAAAUGGGCAAUUAUCUCAUUUCUUGUAUCCUUUCAUGUAUCUGCUGCUAUACUUCUAUUUUUAAUUUUUUAUUGCAAACGUAUUGAUUGGGAGUUUCGUCGUAUACGGCGAAUCUGUGGCUUGUUCAGACCCCUAUGGCACUAUUUGGUUCUCUGGUUUUGUCGAGUUUUUCUUCGUACAAAUAUAUUAGAACCUGGUAGAGCAUAACAAAAAGUAUAAAAUCCAGCUUCUCCAUACACGACAAAUAUAAGACCAAAUAUAUAAUCUGCCAUUGAAAACAAGUUUGACAAAACAUGUAUAAUUACAAACGGUAAUGCUAUUGCAAAUUGUAAUGCUCCAAGUACGUAGCGUAACGAUCAGUAAAUAUUGCUGUGAUGAUAAAUUACGAAAUAAACUAUAAGUAAAAUUGGACAAUUUUAAUUAAUAAAGGCUACGGUC
Molecule: long non-coding RNA, 745 nt
Organism: Temnothorax curvispinosus
Lineage: Eukaryota; Metazoa; Arthropoda; Insecta; Hymenoptera; Formicidae
Exons: 5
Source: RefSeq, a predicted model, not a curated record